This 465-nucleotide ribosomal RNA is filed under the name uncultured bacterium. Its description in RNAcentral is "partial 16S ribosomal RNA". It matches the Rfam family "Bacterial small subunit ribosomal RNA", at positions 28 to 507 of the family's 1533-position model. The record is from RNAcentral.
GACGAACGCUGGCGGCGUGCUUAACACAUGCAAGUCGAACGGAAAGGCCCUGCUUGCAGGGUACUCGAGUGGCGAACGGGUGAGUAACACGUGGGUGAUCUGCCCUGCACUUCGGGAUAAGCCUGGGAAACUGGGUCUAAUACCGGAUAGGAGCCAUUUUGAGUGUGAUGGUUGGAAAGUUUUUUCGGUGUAGGAUGAGCUCGCGGCCUAUCAGCUUGUUGGUGGGGUAAUGGCCUACCAAGGCGGCGACGGGUAGCCGGCCUGAGAGGGUGGACGGCCACAUUGGGACUGAGAUACGGCCCAGACUCCUACGGGAGGCAGCAGUGGGGAAUAUUGCACAAUGGGCGCAAGCCUGAUGCAGCGACGCCGCGUGUGGGAUGACGGCCUUCGGGUUGUAAACUCCUUUCGCUAGGGACGAAGCUUUUUGUGACGGUACCUAGAUAAGAAGCACCGGCUAACUACGUG